Long non-coding RNA from Meriones unguiculatus (Mongolian gerbil), 360 nucleotides. RefSeq lists it as uncharacterized. The transcript is spliced from 4 exons. Lineage: Eukaryota; Metazoa; Chordata; Mammalia; Rodentia; Muridae. The record is from RefSeq and is a predicted model, not a curated record.
CUGCUGUCCUGUGCACAUGCCACCAGGGAUAUUUGUACUGUGCUGCCCAGGAUGGACAAGCAACAGGGAGAAAUCCCCAAAUGUAACCUUCAGAGUAGAAGUGUAUGUUCCCAAGUCUACAAAUAUCUGCAGUUCUGCAGGUUCUGUUGGACAUUUUCCGUGGUAGAUGUUCUUUCCACCUUCCUGUCUCAUCUAGGCAAGGGUUAAGUGAGAUGAGAUGCAAGAAGCACAGUGCCCAGAUACAGACAGACACCAGCAAAGAAAAAGACAUCAGACAUUAAAAGAUGUUUUCCACCGGAGAUAAAUCUAAUCUGGCACACACACACACAAAUCUCUUUUUGUGUAAUAUUCAUUCCACAG